Molecule: long non-coding RNA, 654 nt
Organism: Engraulis encrasicolus (European anchovy)
Lineage: Eukaryota; Metazoa; Chordata; Actinopteri; Clupeiformes; Engraulidae
Exons: 3
Source: RefSeq, a predicted model, not a curated record
GGUGUUGGUGUUUGGAACAGAGAGCAUUCCGUUGCCUUUGACCUGGGAUUCGCCCAUUAGAACGGCUGGACAACUUGACCUUGGUGACUUGAAGGACCCGACUCCCCUCGUGGUGCAUGUUGUCAUUAAAAGAUCAGGACUAAAGGUGCUAAAUGGUGCUUGGUUCCGGGAGCAUUUCAUUGGCUUUGAACUGCGAUUCCUCCAUUAGAACGGCUGGAUAACUUGACCUUGGUGACUUGAUGGACCUGACUGCUUGUGGCAUACGUUGUCAUUGCAAAGAUCAGGACUGAGGGUGUUGGUGCUUAGCAGCGGUGUGGCAGAGGAGAAAUUAUGAACCUGCACCACAGGAGCCGAGAACUGGAGGUGGGCAAACUGGUCCGACUCUACAGCCGGCAGCGGAGGAAGGGGUGCUGCGCGAAACUGGACAGCCGCUGGGUAGGCCACGGUCAAGUGCUGGAGCGACUUGGGGAGGUGAUGUACCACACAGCAACCCCCCCUCCACACGCCCCAUGACCACACGACCAUUAGCCACACCUGACCACGGAUACACGUUUGCGGACACCCCCACACACAGUCCCCCCUUUCCCCUCCUUACACAGGACACACCGACACAGUCAAAUGCAGAGCAGCCACCAACCAGGGGUAACAGACAUG